AGCAGCCGCGGUAAUUCCAGCUCCAAUAGCGUAUAUUAAAGUUGUUGCAGUUAAAAGCUCGUAGUUGAAUUUCGGGAUUGGCGCAUCGGUCGUGCCUUACGGGGUAUGAACUGGUGCAGUCAAUUUCUCACCUUCUGGAGAACCGCGAUGUCCUUAAUUGGGUGCCGCGGGGAACCAGGACCUUUACUUUGAAAAAAUUAGAGUGUUUAAAGCAGGCAUUUUUGCUUGAAUACAUUAGCAUGGAAUAAUAAAAUAGGACGGCAUGGUUCUAUUUUGUUGGUUUCUAGGACCACCGUAAUGAUUAAUAGGGAUAGUUGGGGGCAUUAGUAUUCAAUUGUCAGAGGUGAAAUUCUUGGAUUUAUUGAAGACUAACUACUGCGAAAGCAUUUGCCAAGGAUGUUUUCAUUAAUCAAGAACGAAAGUUAGGGGAUCGAAGACGAUCAGAUACCGUCGUAGUCUUAACCAUAAACUAUGCCGACUAGGAAUCAGACGAUGUUAAUUUUUUAAUGACUCGUUUGGC
Molecule: ribosomal RNA, 520 nt
Filed under: uncultured Entrophospora
Lineage: Eukaryota; Fungi; Glomeromycota; Glomeromycetes; Entrophosporales; Entrophosporaceae
Description: SSU rRNA
Rfam family: Eukaryotic small subunit ribosomal RNA
Source: RNAcentral